RNAcentral lists this long non-coding RNA (770 nucleotides) under Phoenix dactylifera (date palm). RNAcentral's name for it is "long non-coding RNA (PDAC_LNC011858)". Lineage: Eukaryota; Viridiplantae; Streptophyta; Magnoliopsida; Arecales; Arecaceae. The record is from RNAcentral.
AUUUCGAAUUUCAAAUUUCAGAAUUUAAUAACUACGAAAUUAUUAACUAGAAAUUAUCAAAAUAAGAAAAAUUAAUAAAAAUAAAAAUAAAAACUUACUACCGAAGUGCGUUCACUCCGGGCAUCCAAAACUCGAUUUAUCUUCGUGAUCGUUCUUGCUUCUCGAUUUGCCUUUCCGGCAACGGCGCCAAAAUUUUGUUGUCCGAUUUCUGUUUACCUAAAAAUAUGCUAAACAGAUCGUUGUUAUAACCGACAAACAAAGUUUAAAUUAAUUUUACUCUUACCUGUUCUACUUGAAGAAUAGUAGUUGUAAGAGGUUGAUCCACAGGAAAGCGAUUGGAGUUGCUUAAAAAUAAAAACGUUCACUUGGAUUCAAAAGCGAUUUUUGAAUAACAAAAGAAAAAUAUUUUGUCGGGGAUGUUGAGAUGAUUUUCUAAUUGAAACUAACUAAAAGAAAGGUACUCAGAUUCGAAAAGCAUUUAUUUAAUUAAUCAAAGAAGAGUUUUGGCAUAAAUUAAAAUGGAUGAAAACAAGAAUAUUGAAGCGAACACAAAUUGCAUGAAGAUUUAAUUGUAUUGUAUAAAAAGAAAAAUUACAGAAGUUGAAGAACGGAACUUAAAAAUACAAAAAUAAAAAAUAAUAGAAAUUAAAGUUUUAGCAUAAAUUGGAUGAAAACAGUGCUAGGAAAAUUGCAGACUGGAAUAUAGAUUGCAUAAAAUAAAUUUAUGGAUUGCAUAAAAGGACAAGUGCUUACAAGAGUAAGAAAGAAAA